This 253-nucleotide ribosomal RNA is filed under the name uncultured bacterium. RNAcentral's name for it is "partial 16S ribosomal RNA". It matches the Rfam family "Bacterial small subunit ribosomal RNA", at positions 524 to 776 of the family's 1533-position model. The record is from RNAcentral.
UACAGAGACUGCAAGCGUUAUUCGGAUUCACUGGGCGUAAAGGGUGCGCAGGCGGCCAAGUGUGUGAGGCGUGAAAGCCUGGAGCUUAACUCCAGAAUUGCACCUCAAACUACUUGGCUAGAGCAGUGGAGAGGGUAGCAGAAUUCAUGGUGUAGCAGUGAAAUGCGUAGAUAUCAUGAGGAAUACCAGAGGCGAAGGCGGCUACCUGGACAAUUGCUGACGCUCAGGCACGAAAGCGUGGGGAGCAAAAGGG